Molecule: long non-coding RNA, 2291 nt
Organism: Phyllostomus discolor (pale spear-nosed bat)
Lineage: Eukaryota; Metazoa; Chordata; Mammalia; Chiroptera; Phyllostomidae
Exons: 2
Source: RefSeq, a predicted model, not a curated record
UCUCUAAAAAUAAAUAAAUAAAAUCUUUUAAGAAAAAGACAGAAAGUAAGUAGUAAGUGCCAGGGGUUGGGGGAAUUGGGGGCAGACUGGGGUGGUGGCUAAUACAUAUGGGCAUUCUUUUUAGAGUGAUGAAAACAUUCUAAAGUUAGUUGUGGUGAUGGCUAUGCAACUCUGAGUGUAUUAGAAACUAUUCGACUGUAGACAACAGUCACUCUUAACAUGAGUUUGAACUGUGCUGGUCCACUUACAUGCAGAUUUUUUUCCAGUCAAUACCUGCACUAAUCUAUAGUUGGGGGUUUGCAGGUAUGGAGAGCUGACUGUGUGCAUUGGUCUGUGCCACUGUACACAGGGACUUGAGGGUACACGGAUUUUGGUAUCCAUGGGAGGUCAUGGAACAAAUCCCCCAUGGACACUGAGGGACAACUAAGUUUUUGGAGAGUCAAAAGUUAUACAUGGAUUUUCAACUACGUGGGAGGUUGGCCCCCUAAUCCCCACAUUGGUGAAAGUUUUACUUUAAAAGUGUCAAUUGUUUAUUGUAUGGUACAUGAAUUCUAUCUCAGUAAAGCUGCAUACACACAUGUACAGCACACACAUGUGCACAAACAUUUAUAGAGACGGGGGAAAGCAGUCCAUCCAGGGUUUUGAAUGGGAGAAUGAUGUGGCUUGAUUUAUGUGUUUCAAAGAUCACUCUGGCUCUUAUGUUGAUAAUUGAGCACAGGAGUGUUUCAGUUAUCAAUUGCUGUGCAACACUUGAUUAAAGAGGCACUGUCUCAUUAUCUCAGGCAGUUCUGUGGGUUGACUGUGCUCAGCUGGGCAGUUUCACUUGGGGUCUCUCAUGGGGCUGCGGUCAGGUAGUAUCAUCUGUGGACUGUACUGGGCUGGAUGUCCAGGAUGGCUUCCUUGCUCCCUGUCAGACUCCUGGGGCUUCUCCUUGUGCCCCCCACUGCAGCAGAGCAGCCUGGACUUCUCCCAUGACAGUGCAGGGCUCUAAGAGUCAGGAAGUAGAAACUGCCAGUCCUCUUAAAAGCUGGGCUGGGAACAUACAGCAUCACCCCACCAUAUCUGAUUGAUCAAAGCAGGCAGAGGUGAGCCCCAGAUUCUGGGGUACAUGACUGGACUGCACUUCUCAAAAGAAAUGACAAACAUAUAUGGAAAGAGGAAUUGAUGGCAGUCAUCUUUGGAGUCAAGUGACUAAGCUGCCACAGGGGCUGCAGUGGAAGAAGGAAGACCAGUCAGCUGCUGCCAUUAUAAUUAUUGUCACCAGUAUUUCCUUGUUCUGCCACCUCACAAAAUCUGCCUCUCCUGAGUGGAAGACACACCUCCUAGAACUGGUCUCAUGAACUUUGGAGUGGUGCUGCCCUGGCCUGGGGCAGGGAGGAGCGAGCUUCCUAGGUGAGCUAUUUCUCCUGUACACACCUGCCUGGAUCUGUUACAGAGAAAGCAACUUGCUGGAUAAUUUUGCUCAGGGUUCCAGAGCUGGGUAUCUUAGAAGCCAGGGAAGACCCAGGUCUCCCAAGGCCCCAGCCAGUUUCUUAUUGCUAGACUAUAUGUAACCAAGAAUCCCACUCUGAGAAUUCCAAUCUGGGGGCUGAGGAGACUGAGCUGUGGGCCAGCUUUGCCAAGAAGCUUAAUUCUAUUUAUCCAGAUUCAAUUUGCAGCAGCAGGGCGCAAACUGCCCGCUCAGCCAGGGCUGGGAGAAGAGGCAGAGUCCCUGCCGGGUGAGCUGGGGGGGAUGCUGUUCACGAGUGGACCCCACACACUCACUGAGUGCCUUCUGUGUGCCUGGCACUCUUUAGUGAUACAGUCGUGAUCGACCAAGACACACUCCCUGCCCUUUUUCACUGAAACAGCUUUCUUGAGAUAUAAUUCACAUGUCACACAGUUCAUCUGUUUAAAGUGUACAGUUCAGUGAUUUUAGUACUCUGUGACUUUAAUAGGACUCUAUUAAGUGUUAAAGCUCUGGAAAAUAAUAUAAAGUUUGCCAUUUUAACCAUUUUUAAGUGUACAGGUCAGUGGUGUAAAUAACUUGCCACCUGUGUUGAGAAUUUGGGUAUUGAUUCAGCUUUGAAAGUCAGAAUGUGUCCUAGGACCAAUGACUUUCUAGGGUUUUUUAAGUCAGUGAGAACUUGAAAGUGGUCAGUACUUUCCAGAAAAGGGUAUUUGUUUCCAAUGUGAUUGGAAAGACCCUGGAGUUUGAGUUAGAAGCCUAGGAAAGGAGCUCUAACUUCGCUAUCCAGUAGGUGAAUAUCCUUCACUUGUUACUCGUCCUUGCUGCCCUUCAAGUCUCCUCA